Molecule: long non-coding RNA, 610 nt
Organism: Peromyscus eremicus (cactus mouse)
Lineage: Eukaryota; Metazoa; Chordata; Mammalia; Rodentia; Cricetidae
Exons: 3
Source: RefSeq, a predicted model, not a curated record
AUAACUGAAGCACUGGAGGCUGAGGGACCCCUUCGAGACAAUGUUUCUUUCCGGUGAUGGAUCAGCUUCCUGACAGAGACACAGACAUACCGUGGCGGGGAGGCUCCUUCCUACUCCCGAAGUCCUCACUUGUAUCUCUGGCCCUAUGAAGGAGCCCACCCACUGCCACGCUCAAGGGAAGUGGUACCUGCCCCUCCCAGACACUCACUGCAGGACUCCACGCUGCUCCAGGCUGUACUUGCCACCUUCCCGCAUGGCUGUGUUGUGCACGGCCUCAAUGGCCCGGUCAAUUGCUUGGAGGACAUCUUGCUCCAUGCCCUAAAGAAGCUCUCCAGGCACAAGGUAGUAGCUCUUUGGGGCAGUGCUGGCAAGUCUUUGUGAAGACAAGACUGGAAUGACCAUGGGGCUGCUGAGGAGCCGUGGCAGGUGUUCAAGCCAAAACCACCCUGUCCAAAACUACAUGUCCUCCACCUGGGCUCAUGGCUACCAAUAGACCAGAGACCAGUGGCUACUUGAGACCCCAGCAUGGGGUCCAGGGUAUCUGAGAUUACUAUGUCCAGCCAAUUAAUUACUUGCUGCCAACACAGAAAUCAAGGACCCAAGUAUUGAA